AGAGUUUGAUCCUGGCUCAGGACGAACGCUGGCGGCGUGCUUAACACAUGCAAGUCGAACGGAAAGGCCCUUCGGGGUACUCGAGUGGCGAACGGGUGAGUAACACGUGGGUGAUCUGCCCUGCACUUUGGGAUAAGCCUGGGAAACUGGGUCUAAUACCGAAUAUGACCAUGCACUUCCUGGUGUGUGGUGGAAAGCUUUUGCGGUGUGGGAUGGGCCCGCGGCCUAUCAGCUUGUUGGUGGGGUAAUGGCCUACCAAGGCGACGACGGGUAGCCGGCCUGAGAGGGUGACCGGCCACACUGGGACUGAGAUACGGCCCAGACUCCUACGGGAGGCAGCAGUGGGGAAUAUUGCACAAUGGGCGCAAGCCUGAUGCAGCGACGCCGCGUGAGGGAUGACGGCCUUCGGGUUGUAAACCUCUUUCAGCACAGACGAAGCGCAAGUGACGGUAUGUGCAGGAGAAGGGCCGGCCAACUACGUGCCAGCAGCCGCGGUAAUACGUAGGGUCCGAGCGUUGUCCGGAAUUACUGGGCGUAAAGAGCUCGUAGGUGGUUUGUCGCGUUGUUCGUGAAAACUCACAGCUUAACUGUGGGCGUGCGGGCGAUACGGGCAGACUUGAGUACUGCAGGGGAGACUGGAAUUCCUGGUGUAGCGGUGGAAUGCGCAGAUAUCAGGAGGAACACCGGUGGCGAAGGCGGGUCUCUGGGCAGUAACUGACGCUGAGGAGCGAAAGCGUGGGGAGCGAACAGGAUUAGAUACCCUGGUAGUCC
RNAcentral lists this ribosomal RNA (771 nucleotides) under uncultured bacterium. RNAcentral describes it as "bacterial SSU rRNA". It matches the Rfam family "Bacterial small subunit ribosomal RNA", at positions 8 to 796 of the family's 1533-position model. The record is from RNAcentral.